Molecule: long non-coding RNA, 3318 nt
Organism: Strigops habroptila (Kakapo)
Lineage: Eukaryota; Metazoa; Chordata; Aves; Psittaciformes; Psittacidae
Exons: 2
Source: RefSeq, a predicted model, not a curated record
CUUCCCUGUAACCAAAGAGGGUAUUGUUACAGAAUUUGAGCUUUCUUAAGGUGUCUUGCAUUAAUUUUUACUUUUAAGUGUCUGAGUUGUGAAUUGUGUAGUCGAAUUCCUGGUCAGAAACACCAGAAGAGGAGACUUGCUCAGAUAUGGUGUGUGGUGUCUUUAAUACUGUAAUGCAGAAGCAUACCUCCACAAAAUAGAGUGGUUUUAGUGAGUGUUGUGGUUUUAUUCACAUCUUAUUUAAUGCUUUUCUACCCUUGGUCAUAUGUUGAGUUUUCUAUGAGUAAAUCAUUCCUCUGUUUUUGUGUUGCAUUUUCAUAUAUUUUUGCUUAUGUCUAACUUUGACCUCCUUAGAAUGAAGAUGAGUUUUGGCCUUUGCAGUCUUAAGUGAUGGAUGGGUUUGAUACAUCACUAGAGUCAACCAUUUCUUUGUCCUUGACAAAUCCCAGCAGAAGUCCUCUUUCACCUACCUGGCAGGUCUGCUGCACGCUUGCUCCAUGCCAUGCCUUGAAUGUUGCACCCCAUUUCCACUGUCUGCACUUGCCAAGCCCGUGAGGAGGAGGCAGUGAUGAAAGGGGAGGAGGAAAUGAGAUUUAAAACUUUGUUCCAGAGACAAGAGACUUCUCUCAGCCUCACAUCCCAGGAGGGUCUGUGCUUCAUAGGUUUGACUUGUAAUUUAGCCAAUAUCCCAAGUUUGCUGUAAGAUUUAGAGCACUAAGGCUCUGGUCCUGCUGGUUUGCAGGCUCUCCCAUGUUUGCAGCCUGUCUUUGGUCCCUUUCUUGUCACCCUGCCCUUUGCUUUUUCUUUUUUGCUCAGAUCUCUCAAGGCUCGAUGUGCUUUGGUGUGAGCCCUUCCAGCUCUACACAGAGAAGGCUGCUGGUGCUGAGCUACUUUAAUUGACUUGCAUCUUUGGUUAUCUCAAUCCCAUAAAGUGUGGAUUUGCAAUGAAAGUACUGGGGAUACUUCAAGCCAUAAUCAAAUCUCAUAGUGGUGGAGUGCAACACAAGAGCUAGGGCUAUCUAGAUCUGUGUGUGUGGUACAUUCAGUGGCAGUCAGUGUCAGUGGGACUGGGUAAAAGAAAUAGGAUGGAUUCUCCCAGCUGCUGUUUCCUUUUGUCCCAAUGGGAGAAGAUGAGGGUUGGAGGCCCAAGAGGAGUCAGGUAGGAACUGAGUCAGUCAUGGGUAGGAGCCUUUGUGCAUGCCCUUACUGGUAAAAGGAGGCAGAUUUCCCUCCAGGAUAAGGGCAGAAGCCUGUUUGGAAUUGCUGUUGGCUGGUCCUGAUGGGGAAAGGAGAAGGCAAAUACUACUGACUUGGCUGGUACUGCUCAAGCCAGGAAGCAGUUCAAAGAAAUAAGCUUCUGAUUCAACCUUUGGAAACUUGACCUUGUGGAAUGUGGACCCUGAAGGGAAGGAAGUGUGAGGCAUUCCCUGGGCACACUGCAGCAGACAUUUGAUGAGCAAAACAAGCUGGGCCUGCUAGGACAUCUGGUUUGAAGGCUGAGGUUUGUCGUUUCACUUGGACUAGGAUCCUGGCUGUAGGUAGAGAGGCAAACCCCUGCUGUGGCUCCUUGCUUUGUCAGACAAUUACUGUGGGGUAUGUGGAGUGGAGCUUUCUGGCUUGUCAUUAAUGCUCCCCUGUGCCUUGAUGUGCUGCAGAUACUGUAGAGCUUUUCUCCUUGAUGCUUUCUACAUGUAUUCAGCCUCCAUCUUCUGAGUAACAAAGUGUGCCCUUGGCUGGGAAGGAUAAACAGAAGCAAAUGGAUUAGUGUAGCAUAGACCAGCAGAAGUGGCCAGCUCCUGGGGUCAGCCUGAGCCAGGCUCUCUUUAGAGACAGGAAUGCUCCAGUGCUGCAAAAUAAACCACUAAUCUGCCUUGACAAAAAGAGAAUUUAUUAGCAGUGAAGAGUCUUUGCUCUUGGAAGCACAGGCUGUGAUGAGGAGAGGCUGACUAACUGCUCAGUGUGCGAUAAGCUGGUUCAGAUGAGGCUGCUCUCGAGACACCAAAGAGAUCAGCUUGUAGUCAGAUAUUUCAGCCACUUAGUCUGAUCCUUUUUGGCUUAGGCCUUGCUCUUCUGUCAGAGAAACUUGAAGAGUUCUUGGCCUGAAGCUUGUCUUGCUUUCUGGAGCACAGAUGUAGAAUUCCCUCUGUAGUGACUAAAGAGCUGCAAGACCUGAGGGCUCGGAGCCAGCCAGUGUGGAGCUGGCACCUGGGAACUCACAUUGCUGCAUUACUGUAAUCCAAAGCAUAUUCUGUUGUGCUGGAGUAUCUUAGACCAUUAGUGUAGUACACUUUAAUGGGCUGUGUCUAAUGUUUCUCUGUCUCUGGCAGCAUGAGCUUUUUCUUUUCCAGGGUUCUCUAAACUGCUUUUAAUAGGAGGUCUUGGAUCUGUGGCCUGAAUUCAGCUCUUCUGUGGGACUUCCUUCCAGGGCAGCCCUGAGUUGUGCUGCAGUCCCUGGCUGUUGCUUUGCCACCAUUUGUUCCAGCAUUGCCUUUUUCAUGUAUAAGCUUUUGUUGCCUGCAUGGAUUUACAAGCUCUUUCUCCUGUUUAACAGCAGCAGCGUGAACCACAAGGAACACACAACUCUUCUAGGUGUGUUUGAGCUCUUUCACAACUACCCUAAUUACGAACUAACUUCUGAAGCUUCAUAGACUUUCUGUGCAGUCUUUGCAAUGGCUGAGAAGUCUGUUGUCAUCUCAGACUUGUGUGUGUAUGUAGGUGAAUGUCUUUACUUUUCGGCUAACAGCAGUGGGAUAACCACGCAUCUUGUCCAGCUUUUUUUCCACCUGGAGGGAGUGGAAAUCUUUAUCCCAAUCUAAAUAUUGAAGUCCAUAGCAUUGGCAGAUAGAACCUUCCUGAAAAGCAAGUAUUACCUGUGUAAAUACUCAUUUAGAGACCUGGCUUUAAGUAUUGAAGGUCAGUGUUGAGUUCACAUGAAGUGUGUUGCUCUGGAAGACCUCAGUGUCACUGGUGCUUCCAAAAUGAGCCAGAAGUUGUCUUCUAAUUCAUCUCUCACCUUUACAGUUUGAAACCUGCUCUCAAUCAAAACCUGUCUUGCUAAAACCAUUUCUUCAUGCUUUUGUCUUCAAGUAUGGAGGGUUUUUCCUGCCAUCUUGUAACAAGCUUUCCAGUAUUUCAGGACUUGUCCUCAGAGUCUUCCCUGCUGCAAACCACUCCAGUUCCAUCAGCCUUUCCCUUUAUUGUAGAGUGUAUCUGUUUCAUCUGAGCAAGAAACGAAUCUUCUGCUAUGGUUUGACCUGGACAACGUGCUGAAGGUGCAUUGGUGGGUACUGCUUAAAAGGGCCUGGUGAGGUUUUGAAC